UCUAAAUCUGUACUUAGAUUCAGUGUACCAAAUUCCAUUCUCACAUAUUAGAAUUCCUACUUGAGUCCAGGAUCGGUCUCGGAGUCUUCCCUGAAUAUCCAAACCCAUAAAAUAAAAUAGAUGGGUGGUGCAUUUUGGGGGACGCGGGUGAUGCAGGUAGUGAAGAAGCAUGAUUCUCCAAGACUCUUAUGGAAGAGAAUCAAGCUCACCACCACCUGUAAAGCCAAUGCCAAGAAGCGUCUUCACCGUGUAUGGCAGAAUGAAGCUGUCCUCAAGGCUUGUUCUGAACCAUCUUCUUCAGCAAAUUCUUCUGCCAGUGCCAACAAUGUUACAAAGAAUGCUUAAGUUGAAGGAUGUCCACCUGAAGGUUCUUCCAUAGGUAUUUUAGGUUCCCAAUUCUAGAUUGGUUUUUGCUAGACAGUUGAAAAACUGUAGAGGAUGCUUCAAUUAGCCAAUAGUUCUAUAACAUUUGUGUUUGCUACUACCACAAUUUCUAUUAAAUAUAAUUGAUGAUGCAUUCCCUACCCCUCUUCUUAAAUCCCAUCUCCCCAUUAUCUCCAUUUCGCUACUGUGCUGAAAUCUUCUUAGCUACCUGAAGCUCCCUCAAUUUACUUAGUACAGAAGAAUGGAAAACAUCUUGAAGCCUAGUGCAUUCUAAGUCUUUACACACGUUACAUUGCAGGGUUACAUCAGUACUUUAUUUUCAUGAUUUUCAGAAACACUGAAAUUAUUAGGCAAUGUGGUUGCACAUAUGAUGCAGUUCACAAUUAAAAAGUAUGAUCCAGGCAUAUGUAUGUCCAUAGUUCAUUCGUGAUAGCAUCACUUUGGUCCUUAGGUCAUCAAGUUAGCAAGUAACUUGGGUUUGUGGUUUCCUUUUUGUUUUUUAACAUUGUUUAUAUCUUGCUUGCUCUACGUAUCAUAAUAGCUGUUAUUGAAAAUUGUUGGAUUUAUUGGAA
Molecule: long non-coding RNA, 956 nt
Organism: Medicago truncatula (barrel medic)
Lineage: Eukaryota; Viridiplantae; Streptophyta; Magnoliopsida; Fabales; Fabaceae
Exons: 3
Source: RefSeq, a predicted model, not a curated record